AUUAGGGUCUGCUACCUAAGCAAUUGGGCCCAUACCCCAAAAACGAUACUACAAUCCCCUGAUA
Molecule: transfer RNA, 64 nt
Filed under: Palleon nasus (elongate leaf chameleon)
Lineage: Eukaryota; Metazoa; Chordata; Lepidosauria; Squamata; Chamaeleonidae
Description: tRNA-Met
Source: RNAcentral